GUUAACACACUAAGCUUUAAAUCAAUUACAUUUAAAAUAAAGAUUUUUUAAGACAAAUAUUUCUACUUCUUUUCCAUAGAAUUUCUUUCGGCUCCAUCAUCUCUUCGCUAUCUAAAAUACCAAUCAAGUUCUUUCCAUCGGUUUUUGUUUUGUGAAUAUCAGUUCUUUUACUGGGGUUUGCAUCUUGUCCUUCAGUUCUCGAUUUCUCUCCGCGGAUUCAUUCAUGGUCAAUAACAAUACUUCCGGUGAGAUUUUC
Molecule: long non-coding RNA, 256 nt
Filed under: Nicotiana benthamiana
Lineage: Eukaryota; Viridiplantae; Streptophyta; Magnoliopsida; Solanales; Solanaceae
Description: long non-coding RNA (NBEN_LNC031503)
Source: RNAcentral